CGUUGUUCGGAUUUACUGGGCGUAAAGCGUGCGUAGGUGGUUUCGUGUGUCGGAUGUGAAAGCCCAUGGCUCAACUGUGGAAUUGCAUUCGAAACUGCGGGACUGGAGUGCAGGAGGGGAGAGCGGAAUUCUUGGUGUAGCGGUGAAAUGCGUUGAUAUCAAGAAGAACACCGGUGGCGAAGGCGGCUCUCUGGAAUGCUACUGACACUGAGGCACGAAAGCUGGGGGAGCGAACAGGAUUAGAUACCCAGGUAGUCCCAGCCGUAAACGGUGCGCACUUGGUGUGGGGGGUAUUGACCCCCCCCGUGCCGGAGCUAACGCGUUAAGUGCGCCGCCUGGGGAGUACGGCCGCAAGGCUAAAACUCAAAGAAAUUGACGGGGGCCCGCACAAGCGGAGGAGCAUGUGGCUUAAUUCGAUGCAACGCGAAGAACCUUACCAGGGCUUGACAUGCAGCUGCACGGCCGGUGAAAGCCGGUUUCCUUCGAGGGUGCUGCACAGGUGCUGCAUGGCUGUCGUCAGUUCGUGCCGUGAGGUGUUGGGUUAAGUCCCGCAACGAACGCAACCCUUGUGUUUAGUUGCCACCGGCGGUGAUGAGCCGUCGAGCACUCUAGACAGACUGCCCGUACAAGCGGGAGGAAGGUGGGGACGACGUCAAGUCAGUAUGGCCCUUACGCCCUGGGCUGCACACGUGCUACAAUGGCCGGUACAGAGGGAAGCAAUGCCGCGAGGUGGAGCCAAUCCCCAAAACCGGCCCCAGUUCGGAUUGGAGUCUGCAACUCGACUCCAUGAAGUUGGAUUCGCUAGUAACGGCGCAUCAGUUACGGCGCCGUGAAUACGUUCCCGGGCCUUGUACACACCGCCCGUCACAUCAUGAAAGCCGUCUGCACCCGAAG
Molecule: ribosomal RNA, 894 nt
Filed under: uncultured bacterium
Lineage: Bacteria
Description: bacterial SSU rRNA
Rfam family: Bacterial small subunit ribosomal RNA
Source: RNAcentral